UUAACUCUAAUAAGAGUGUUUUAUUCAAGCUUAUGGUUAAUCAUUGCUGAUUGCUAUGAAAAUUGUACUCUGUACAUCUUGCAUGUAUAAGUCAGGUAUGAAAGGCUGAUCACCUUCAUUACCAGUUGGUUCAGAAAUGUUUGUACAUGUUUAAAACUUGUUCAGUCAAAAGUUUGUUCCUGCUAGUUCUCAAUUAUAUUGAUGAAUUAUAGCCAGCUUAUUAUUCAUACUCUUCAAUCAUGAUAUAUCCUUAUAUUGUUGUAUUUAAACUUGCUGGGCAACUUUCAUGCUCACCCUUGCUAUAUCAUGAUAAAACAUUGCAGAUAAGGCAAAUGCGUUCGGAUACAGGAAAUGAUUAAAGCCAAGUUCAGCUUGGGUUAUAAAGUGCAGCUAGUUUGUCAUAGCGUAUUGUGAUAAGUUAUGUAAUAAAUAGUUUAUGAAAUGAUUAUAAGUUAAGGUUACUCGACCUUGGGGAAUAGUGUGUAAUGUAAUGUAUAAACAAUUUAUGUUUAUAUCUUCCGCAAACAGUUAUAGAAUGAUUAGUGUACCGAAUCCGCGGCGAUUUGGGGCCCAGAUUCGGGGGAUGCUACAAUAAUUAUAAUAAAACAUUGUAUAUUAUUCUAAAUUAGAUCUUUC
Molecule: long non-coding RNA, 636 nt
Filed under: Panax ginseng (ginseng)
Lineage: Eukaryota; Viridiplantae; Streptophyta; Magnoliopsida; Apiales; Araliaceae
Description: long non-coding RNA (PGIN_LNC007464)
Source: RNAcentral